RNAcentral lists this long non-coding RNA (9006 nucleotides) under Medicago truncatula (barrel medic). RNAcentral's name for it is "long non-coding RNA (MTRU_LNC000966)". The record is from RNAcentral. Lineage: Eukaryota; Viridiplantae; Streptophyta; Magnoliopsida; Fabales; Fabaceae.
AAAUCCAAACCCGAAUUGCAACCUGAACCGGAAUUGCCAUCGGAACUGAAGUCGGAACCGGAAUUGCCACCGGAACUGAAGUCGCAACCGAAACAGAGAGAGAAAUAUGAAUGGGAAUCGAAACGCGUUGAAGAUCUUGAGAUGAGUGACUUCUCUAUGUUUGACGAUGACAUUGAGCCUUUUAUGUUUAUAUGCGCGCGCUUUAUUUACAAGAAUAAGGCCCAGAUUCAAAAAGAUAAGGAGAUUGAAGUAGCCAUGGCUGAGUAUCGUGAGUGCUCUCGCAACCUAAGUGUAAGUAACUCAUCUAUCUAUUUCAAUUUCAUUGUCUUGUGUUUCACUCUCUUAAUUUUAAUUUUAAUAAUUCAUUCUGGACAACACAACACAACACAGGUGUUCGAUGCUAUCCCCGUUCCAAAAAUCUCAGGAAAAUGUGGGGGUGUCGGUCCCCUUCCUAUGACCGAUGAUCGUCGCCUUUUUCUCACUCCCGCCUGCCACCUUGCCUUAGACAAUUACAAUGCUGAGAAUCAGGCAGGUUUCAAUACUUAUGUUGAUUAUAAUAUGUUUAUGUUUAUUCAUUCAUUCAUUGAUCAUCUAAUAUACUAUUAUUAUUUUUUAGGGUCCAAAUUUCGUUUUUGUUGACGUUGUCAAGACAACCUAUAGACCCGGUGGUUUCUAUUACAUUACCUUUCAAGCACAAGAAGAAAUUCCCAACAGCCCUGUUAUAGCUUUUCAGGCCGAAGUCAGGAUUUGGAGGACUGACCCACCUAUCAUCAUCAAGUCGUGUGCCAUUAAAACUACUUAACACACUCACCAUGGUAAUAUAAUUGCUGAUACCAGAGUUUAUAGUUGCUAACCUUCACCCAGUUUCUGUUUUUGUUUUUCUUUCAUCAAAUUCAAAUUUACUUUUAACUUCAUCAUGUUUCUAGGCUACCAUAAAUCGUUGCUAAAUAAAUCAUCCGAGAAACAGUUCCAUUACUGUUUAUCUCAUUUUGCCCAAAAGAUAUGGGAAAAAAAGGAUUUAGAGGGAUUCAAUCCCUAUUAUGCUGCAAAAACGAUGCUUAACCACUGUUCCAUCAUUUUUCUAAUAACACAUGUAAUCUAUGUAUAUUAAUGCGAUCUUAUGCUGAUUACAACAUUAAGUUGUGUGCCAUUAAAACCUAAUAACACCAUGGUAACAAUAUUAUCCAUUCCUUACAUCAUGUUUAAUCUUUUCUUGGUUAAUAUACUAUUAUAGUUCCUUUGAAAUUGUAUUUGAUUUUGAUAUUGAUAAUAAGCGUCAAUCAUUUUAUUUCUUCAUGAAAUUCACAAUUAUGAAAACUUCAAGUUUAUAACUUAUAUUUUCAAGACAGAGAAUACAACUUUUUUAACUGACAUGAUAAAUGGUGAUAUAAAUGCUUAGGUUUCUGCUGGUCUAUCUGCAUCCCAUGUAAAUUUCUUUUGUAGUUUGCUCAUGUAUUGAAUGAAUUGAAUUGAUUGUAUCCUGUUUUAUCUAUCUCCGAGAGUAGGUAUCAAAUUCCACUUGCUUUUGAAGUGUACGAAACACAAGUAUAAACAGUUAAUUCAGCCUAGUAGAAUUUUUUAUUAACGAUUAAAGAAUGCAUAGGAAAUAUUGAGAAUUGAGUAGAUAUUAUUGUUUAUUGAAUUAGAAAUUUUAACAUUGAAAUAUUGAGAUUUAGCAUGUGGAAUUUGUAUCAUCAAUUAUUUGUGUAUUCUGCUUCCUUGUGUGAACUAAAGGCACCUACUCUAAUCCAUCAUUCAAACGUUACCAUCAAUUAUUAUUGGCGUUUUAAAUUCAUGUACGGCAAUACUUGAUUCUGCAAAACUGAAACAGAGCAUUAGAUCUUAUGCUGAUUUCUGCAAUGCAAGUCAUGCUUGUAGGGACAUGUAACUUUUCAUUUUACCUUCAUGAAGCUCACUGAUAUAUCCCUAUGGUUUACCCCCUAACCCUAAUUUUUUUAUUCAAUUUUACAGGAAAUUAUGUCCAAUGCAUCCACCUGCUGUGAAUUUACCUUCCAUGAAUCUGAUUUUGGUUAUGUACAAACCCAAGCUAGCCCGGACAAACUUCUGGGUGUAGUGAAUUAAACGUGGUGUUUAUGUAGAUAGUAUAUUUGCUAGAAAAUUUGGGAUUUUAACGUCGCAUGUCAUGUUAUUUCACACCAACGAAUGUCACUAACACUAAUGUUUGUCAUUUAUCUUUAUAAUCGGAUGACAUUUCCCAACGCUUGAUAUGAAUAUAUGCAAGUCUUGAAUCCAAUAGUUUCAUUUGUUUCUUAAUUUGAGCUACACCGUACAUUAAAUUGCUUCGGACAAGAGAUAUCAUUUCUCAUUUUUGGAAUACUGAACAUUUGAGGCAAUUUGUCUUAUUACACACUAGUGAGAAAUGGAUAUUAAGCGAGGAAGAGGUCUUACUGUUAGCCAUUACAUUAAAAUGAAGUGCUUAGAAUAAAACAUCAUUUAUAAUUGAUAAUACUAUAGUUGUUAAGCUUCAGCCAGUUUUUCUUUUAACACCACUUUUUGUUGUGCUUUAUUUGGAAGCUGCUUUAUGUUUUUUCCUAUUGACUUCAUAAGUCAGCCUUUUUUCGCCUCACAGUAAAAAAUGCUGACCAUUUUCUUUAAAAUAGAUUGAAUUCAAGUUAGGCAUUAACACAUAUAAGUUUAAUAAAUAACCUUGAGUCGCAAUUUGUAUAUAAUAGUGUUCUUUUUUUAAACAAUGGUGUUUUUUAAAUAAGGGUAAAACUUGAAUGAAAAAGUUACAACUUAUUUCAUGGAAUUAGAAUUUGUUAAUUUACAUCAUGACAUAUCCAAACAAUAACAGAAUGGACAUCUUUCUAUUCUUCUUUAUAUCACUCCAUUCACUUUUCUUCCUGCUCCCCUCCAUUCAUUUUAAAAUAUCCAAACAUAACCCAAGUUGCAACUCCAACGCCCACAAUGUAAAAGUCCCAUUUUACACUCAACAACUUGUAUGUAGGCAUGUCAAUGGGAUGGGGUGGAGAAAGGUUUCACCUUCUACGUCCUCAUAUCCCCGACUCACAUAUACUUACACGUGUUACCUUAUCUAUAUCCAACGGACAUGAGUUAUAUUUCCGUCUCCAACGAGUUUGGGUAUCCUCGUCCCAUUCUCAUCUCCACAUUGAAUAUUUUUUUAAUAAAAGAAGUUUUUCCCAACUCCAAAUGCAAUGAUGUAAUGCAUUAUCUAUCAAUAUGACCACUUUAACAAUUUCUUUGACGGGAUAAUUUUGCUGCUCCUUUAAAUUUCAAUGACUUUUUUUAUAACAUGGCAAGUCUCAAUUGGUAAUAAAGCAAUUUUCUACAUUCGGGGUCGGUUUGUGUUUGAGUUUAGGGUGGUGCUUUAAAAUUGGAAAAAACUCCAACAGAUGCCUAAAUCCAAUUAAAACGGGAAAAAUCCAUUAAAUCAGUGUGGAUUUGGCCAGGUAGCUGCGGUUACUGGUUUCACUGCCAAGUCUACUUGUAUGUUAUAUGAGGAACAUCACAGAUAGAUUGUUCUAACUUUUUCAAUGAUUACGAAGGCAUUACCCUUAACCUCGUGGCAGGGACACUUUCUGGUUUAUAUUAAACAGCCACUUUAAUUAAGCAAAGCAUUGAUCGCUCUCUGAUUAGUUCUUAAAUCUUUAAUUCAAAAGGCAAUGAUCAACAAGAUAUAAACAAAAUUACGUUUGUAUCAUAAGGACCCAAUGCAUUAGAGUUGAUUCCAGAACAUAAAACAUUAUGGGGUAGUAUAAGUAAACGCGACGCUUAAUUGAUUCUUACAAAUGUUUUCUUACACAAAAAAAAUAAAAGAAUAGUUUUCAGAUAUAAUUUUAUCAUAGUGUAACACUUGUUUAAUCAUCAAGGUAUCAACACUUGUUUGAAAAUUCAAAAAUAUUAUCAUCUGUUCGUUAAAAUACAAUAUUACUAUUUUUUUUUCUUUCGUUUUUCACUAAACAAUCACAAAAGUAAAGGAUGGGUUAAGUUUUUUUGGUAAUAAACACAAGAAAAAUUCUGGAUUAAAAGGGAACACAAGAACACUAAAACUUUCUCGGAAGUUAUCGGAAACUAAACACCAAUUUGAGAUUUAGAAAAAUUGAAGGAAAAUUCGCGGAAAGGAAUUGAAAGAGUUGGAGGGAAAUUUACAACUUAUUUUAUGGAAUUAGAAUUUGUACAUUUACAUCAUGACAUAUCCAAACAAUAAUAGAAUGGACAUCUUUCUAUUCUUCUUUAUAUCACUCCAUUCACUUUUCUUCCUCUUUGCUCCCCUCCAUUCAUUUUAAAAUAUCCAAACAUAACCCAAAUUACAACUCCAUUCACUUUUCUAUAUCGAAGUACAAAAAAGUAAUUCGGUCCGAGUUUUUUUAGCAAAUCUAGCAAACCCUAAUAGUAGAAAAUGAUGAAUCAAGUAUGCAAAUAACCUCAUGUACAUGUAAGCCACAUCAUAUCAUAAAAUUAAAAGCGUUUUGAAAUCCCGAGGGUUAGCUGAAAGAAUCACUUUUACAAACUUAAAUCAAAAUAUAGCCUAAUAGUAAAAUAAAACAUUCAAGCUUUAGUACCUUGUGCAUAUUUAAGUCUUAAAUAAAAUACUAGUAGUACCUUAUAAAACAUUCAAGCUAAGUACCACACACUUUAUCAAUUUUCCUUAUAAAAUAACCUAGUAGUUAAUUAAGAUAAAAGUCCACUCCAUUCAACGGUUAUGGAAAUGACAACCUUGAUGAAUCUUUCCUUUAUCAACUUCGCAGCAAACUUCUCUUCCCCUAAUAUGUUUCUCUUAGCCUGCAUCAUGAGAGGAAAACACAACUAUAAUUUUAUACUUGAAUAUACACCUCAUGCACCAAAUAGAAAUAAUAAUGUGAUUUUUUUUUGUAGUAGUAGUAAGGAACCACUUUCCGUACUAUGCACCAAAUAGAAAUAAAUAAUAAUAAUACUAUAUACUUAAUGGAUGGAAUGUGAAGACCGAGGAAAUCAUGUAUCUCACUCACCCUCAAGUAAAAUUAUAUAUAAAGCUAAUGGGAAAGAAGAUGAAAUAUAAGUAAAUAAGCUAAUGGAAGAGUUUGUUAAAGAGGGAACUUGUAGGCAUAACUUACAUGGACUAUUCACGAACAAGGAGAAGGACUCCAUCGACUGUUGGGAUCAUCAACUACAAAGUAAUUGGAAACAACAUUAUUGAUAAACAACCAAAUAUAUUGAAAUAGAGCAAGUGUGGUAAAGUUGUUCUUUAUGUAGCUUUUGAUUGUAUGUCACAUGAGGAACAUGACAUACGCAGCUUCUUUUCAUUGUUCUAACUUUUUCAAUUGAUUACGAAGACUCUACCCUUAAGUUAACCUUGUGUCAGGGUCACUCUCAGGUUUAUAUUAUUAAACAGUCAUCAUAACCUUUAAUUAAAUUUUUCUCAUUUUCUCUCAACAUAUGAUGAUCCCUCCUAAUAAAAAUACUAUCAAAUUUUUAACCUUUAAUUAUAUUUUAUUUUCCUUUCAUUCAUUUCUAUAAAACAAGAAUUAGAAACAGGAUGUGCACAUACCAGUUGAAGUGCUUGGAAUGUCUUCCUGAUGAUGCUCUACUUCUUCUUCUUCUUCUUCUUCUUCUUCCUGCAGUUGGCAAAUCCAGUGGAGAAAACAAAAAGCAAAAGGUUAUUAUUGAGUUUAGAUGAUUAAAAUAUAGAGAACAGAGUAUGAAAUAGAACACAACACACACACCUUCAGCUCUGAAGUUGUUGGACAAAAGCGCUUCCUUAAGAGUUUCUUAUGCUCCUGUUGAAUGAUAAUAAUAAAUUAACAUCAGACGGAUUGGCUAAAUUAAUUAAACAGAAUGUUGUGUUGUUUUGUAGGGAUCAUUUACUUAAUUAAUUAAUUAACCCUAAUAUAAUAAAAUAAAAACAAGGAAGGAGACAUAUACUACCUCAGCUCCCAAAUUCUCAAUUUCUUCGUCACCAUCCUCCUCAUCAUCGUCAUCGUCAUCACCAUUCUCCUCCUCCUCCUCGCCGACAUCCUCCUCAUCAUCGUCACCAUUCUCCUCCUCCUCCUCGUCAUCAUCAUCAUCAUGGCCUUGUGGUCCAUGGUGGUGCAAAGAUUCAAUUGCCGCACAAGUGGCAAAUGCAUAACAAUAAUUUACAUAAAUUAAUAUAUUCUAUUAAAUAAUAAUAAUAAUAAUCCUCUCAAAAUAAUAAUAAUAAUAAUAGUAAUAAUAAUAAUAUACUAUAUAUAAAUAGUGUAACUCAAAAGCGCUUAGAUAAAAUGCCACAAGUCUUUUCUAACUUAACCAAGGUCGUAAGGAAUUUAAAAACCAACUACAUUUUUUAAUUGAAUUUUUUUGUUUUUUUUUUCAAAUUCAAAUUUAAAAAGAUCCAAAUUGAAUAUUGAAAUUGAAAUGUUAAAGAUAUUAAACAAAAUAAUUAUAUUAAGAGUUUAAUAGUGGUGGAUUGACGGUACAAAAUAAUUUUGCACACACAACCAAUCAAAACUUUCUGAAUCGCCACAUCAAUUAAUGUUUUUAAUUUAAGUAGGCCAAACUUGAUAAUUCAAAACUUGAUAAUCACACACUCACACUUCACAAAGCAACGAGCCUUGAAUGAGAUAUGGAAGGCUCAUUUUUACAGGAAUCAAAGUAAUAACAGUUUUAUUAGCAUCUUAAAUCCAUAUUGGCUCAGCAAUACAACGAGACACAUUUGUAAAAAAACAUACGUGAGCUUGAUAUUAUGCCACUGAUUCUUGAAGAAUGGAAGAUGUAAACUGAGGUUUUUCAUACCGAAUAAAACACUACGAAUCGCUUCCAUCGAAGGGAAACCAACUUUCCGAGCAUAUCUGAAAUUGCACCUUGAAUACAUGGAAACCUGACCUAAAUACUAGUAGUGUGCAUUUGCAUCUAUACUAUAGCAUGUAAAGAGAAUAGUAAGAGCUGGUUUCUUACUGCAUUCAUCAAUUCCAUAUGCGUUCAUUUAAUUUAUACGUAUAAGUGUUGUUUGUUUCAUUAUUAACUUUUUAUGUUUUGAAAACUCUAUUUCCAUGUUGAUUACUGUGGGGAAUAUUUGUUUAGAAGACGCAGAUGAAAGAAGCUCCAUGAGGAAAAACUGAAUAAGACUUGGAAUUUGUAGGAACUAUUUUAAAGUUGAAUUUUGCUAGGAAGCUUGUUUUGUUUAGUUGUUUUAGUGCUAUAGAAUUUUAAUCGAUUUAAUCUCCUUUUGUAAAGUGGUAUACUUGGUACUCUUAAGUGCAGUCAAUCUUCUUAGUAACCUCCUUCAAAAAAAUAAAAAAUAAAUCUUCUUAGUAAGCAUUUAGUAUGAGAUGUCACAAAUUUUCACGCAUACAUUUUGCAAAAAUUGUCUCUGGCUCUCUGCAAUACAAAACAUUGCAGACUUCACAUGAUUUUGACGCAUGUUAUCAUUUUGAUAUUCACAUGAGAGGGGAACUCUGGUUAAUGAGUGGAAUAGAUCAAGUGCUCAUUUCAGAGGAAUACUCUCAAGUGUGAGGGGAGAUAUCUCUAUGGGCACUUCCGAGAGAUUUUACGAUCAUUGUCCUUUGGUGUUAAAGGUGGGAGAGUGGGAUUGGGGGCCUAAACCGUUUCGAUUUAACAAUUUUUUGUUAGAAAAUAUGAAGUUUAAGGGAGUAGUGGAGGAGGCAUGGAGGAGUCAAAAUGUGAGUGGUUGAAUAAGUUUGUGUUGAAAGAAGAGCUCAAAGGUCUUAAAUCUAAGAUCAAAAAGUGGAAUACGUAGGAGUAUGGAGGAAAGGGUUUGAGUGAUAGUGAGCUUUGUUUGCGGAAAGACAAAUUUUUUGAAUUACGGAGAUUACUUAAGCAAAAGACUUGUCGAUUGUGCAAAGGUUUUCAUUAUCGGAUUAAAUUAUAGUGACUCUUCAUUAUCUAAUAUGAAUAAAUGCUAACUACUUAAGCUCUCUAUCAGAUUAAAUGAUCAACCUUUGGUAUGAUGAUUGAUUGAUACUUUCUACCAUAUGUUAAAGGUUAUGUUGUACCAAUAUGUUUAUCUAAUGCUUCGCUUACGUCAACAUAAUGAAACCAAUCAAAUGAUGUUUAAUGCUUGACACCAAAGUAUUCGAAUGUUCUUAUGGUGUGAUUCAUAGAUGAUGUUCAAUUGAAAAAUUCUGAUAUACAAUUUUGGAUCCAUUAUUCAAAAGUGUAACUACUUUCUUUGUCGUGUUUAAACUCUCAUGUAUAGUUCACUAUGUGACUAGUUAACAUGAUUGAUCAUAGCAUGUGUUUGGAAACACAUUUGUCAAUCCCAUACCGCAUCCUAAUGCACUUUCGUCGAGAAAAUUCCAAAGGACGGUGGAGUACUGGGGAGGAAAUUUUUGCGGAGGAACUUUUAGUAAUGUUCUUAACACAUCUAUAAAAAAUUGUUAAAAAACAUUAAGAGUUUAAGCAUAAAUUAAACAAAUUUAAAUUGAAGAGAGACUAAUUCUGAGUGCAUGAUAUUUUUGUAAGCACUAAAACAACUAUUAAAAUUAAAUAAGGAUUAAACUUAAAAUGCCUCAAUUUUAUAGGGACUAAAAACAUAUUUAACACAAUAAAACAAAGUCACAUGUGACAUCCACGUGUGCGUCACCGUUUACUCAGUAACAAUUAACAGACCUAUUUUGCUAAAUAAAAUUUAAGUAGGAACCGGUGAAAACGCGCCUAACCCAUAAAAUAAAUAAAGAGGAAAGGUGUUUUGGUUUAGGUUAGAUAUUUGUGAAUUGUGGUUCCUUCCUUCCUUCCGUUUUGCAGAAUGUCGACAAAUUUCGAUACCCCCUUGUUCGGUGUCAGCCGACCUGCUCCAGAAAGCUGCGAUGAAAGAGGGAAGUGGGUGAAAUGUGAACCAAAACCAAAACCGAAAUCGAAAAAAUAUGAAUGGGAAUCGAAACGCGUCGAAGAUCUUGAUAUGAGUGACUUCUCUAUGUUUGACGAUGACAUUGAGCCUUUUAUGUUUAUAUGCGCGCGCUUUAUUUACAAGAAUAAGGCCCAGAUUCAAAAAGAUAAGGAGAUUGAAGUAGCCAUGGCUGAGUAUCGUGAGUGCUCUCGCAACCUAAG